UCCACGCCCUAAACGAUGAACACUAGUCGUCGGGGAGCUUGUCUCUUCGGUGAUGCACUUAACAGAUUAAGUGUUCCGCCUGGGGAGUACGGUCGCAAGAUUAAAACUCAAAGGAAUAGACGGGGACCCGCACAAGUGGUGGAGCAUGUGGUUUAAUUCGAAAAUACGCGAAGAACCUUACCUAGCCCUUGACAUUGAAGAAAUAGUACCAGAGAUGGACUAGUGCCCUUCGGGGAAUCUGAAAACAGGUGCUGCACGGCUGUCGUCAGCUCGUGUCGUGAGAUGUUGGG
Molecule: ribosomal RNA, 290 nt
Filed under: uncultured bacterium
Lineage: Bacteria
Description: partial 16S ribosomal RNA
Rfam family: Bacterial small subunit ribosomal RNA
Source: RNAcentral